RNAcentral lists this long non-coding RNA (902 nucleotides) under Citrus x clementina. Its description in RNAcentral is "Citrus clementina (C. clementina) long non-coding RNA (CCLE_LNC001502)". The record is from RNAcentral. Lineage: Eukaryota; Viridiplantae; Streptophyta; Magnoliopsida; Sapindales; Rutaceae.
AAAAUAAUAAAAUGGAAAAAAUAAAAUUAUCGUUCUCUCUCAAGUUAAAAUUUUGUAUUUUUCACUAACAAAUUAGAUAAGUAGACAUUUUUUAGGGGAAUAUAUGCAUAUUUAUAUAAAAUUGAGUGUAUCGCUAUCAUUAUUAAAAUAACUAAUUGUUGUUGUUGAUAUUGUCGUCGUCGUCAUCAUCAUAAUUCCUAUUAAAUAAUAAAUAAUUAUUGUUAUUACUAUUAUAAUUGAACGAAUGAGAGUAAGAACAUAUAGACCAGUGAACUUAAAAAAUUAAACCCGGGUCACCAAGCUGUCAAAAAAGCCAAAGGAAGGCCAACUUCUAGACCUAGUAGCACAAUAUCCACGCACAGCAGCAAAUGCACGUUUCCGAGCACAACCAAACAAAGCUAAUUCCUCCAUUUUGUGGGCUUUCUACUGGUAUAAUUUGUUGAGGACACACAUUGGAGGAAUGUUAUAUGAAUGAAUGAAUGAAUUGUUAGGACACAUUGUAUGACGAUUGAAUUGACGACAACUAAUGUAUAAUUUUAAAGAAUGUUUUUAAACUUAAAAAAUGACAAUAUGUUAAUUUUUUUUUUGUUAAAUCUAGGACCACCAAACUCCCACAUGUUUGAUGUUGAUUUCGCCUCAUUAGCUUGUUUUUCUAGAACCAUUUUAUAUCCUGCUUGUUAUUCUUGUUUUUUUGUCAGAGGUUGUGGUUUAUAUCUUCCUCCUUAUGUUCUAUUCAUUAUGGUUACGUUUGGUACGUAGGAUUAUUUGGAUUAAUUAUUAAGAUUAGACUGGAUUAGAUUUAAUUGAAUUAGAUUGGAUUAUAUAAUAUUGUCUUAUGUUUUGUACAGUAUUGGAUUAGAUUACAUUACAUUAUAUUUGAAUGAAAUUAAAUUAAUAUCAUU